This 510-nucleotide ribosomal RNA is filed under the name uncultured bacterium. RNAcentral's name for it is "partial 16S ribosomal RNA". It matches the Rfam family "Bacterial small subunit ribosomal RNA", at positions 28 to 507 of the family's 1533-position model. The record is from RNAcentral.
GACGAACGCUGGCGGCGUGCUUAACACAUGCAAGUCGAACGAAGAGCGACGGAAGCUUGCUUCUAUCAAUCUUAGUGGCGAACGGGUGAGUAACGCGUAAUCAACCUGCCCUUCAGAGGGGGACAACAGUUGGAAACGACUGCUAAUACCGCAUACGAUCUAAUCUCGGCAUCGAGGAUGGAUGAAAGGUGGCCUCUACAUGUAAGCUAUCACUGAAGGAGGGGAUUGCGUCUGAUUAGCUAGUUGGAGGGGUAACGGCCCACCAAGGCGAUGAUCAGUAGCCGGUCUGAGAGGAUGAACGGCCACAUUGGGACUGAGACACGGCCCAGACUCCUACGGGAGGCAGCAGUGGGGAAUCUUCCGCAAUGGACGAAAGUCUGACGGAGCAACGCCGCGUGAGUGAUGACGGCCUUCGGGUUGUAAAGCCCUGUUAAUCGGGACGAAAGGCCUUCUUGCGAAUAGUGAGAAGGAUUGACGGUACCGGAAUAGAAAGCCACGGCUAACUACGUG